RNAcentral lists this ribosomal RNA (458 nucleotides) under Aphodius sp. BMNH 703652. RNAcentral's name for it is "partial 16S ribosomal RNA". The record is from RNAcentral. Lineage: Eukaryota; Metazoa; Arthropoda; Insecta; Coleoptera; Scarabaeidae.
GUCUUUUUGAUAAUAAUUUAAAGUCUAACCUGCCCAAUGAAUUAUUUAAUGGCCGCAGUAUUUUAACUGUGCAAAGGUAGCAUAAUAAUUAGUUUUUUAAUUGAGAACUGGUAUGAAUGGUUGGACGAGGAAAAAGCUGUCUCGAUUUAAUUUAAAUUAGAAUUUUAUUUUUAAGUUAAAAAGCUUAAAUAAAUUUAAAAGACGAGAAGACCCUAUAGAGUUUGAUAUGCUUAGUUACAUUUUUAGUAUAAGGAAUAAAAUUUCUUUUAUGUAUUAUACAUAUUUAAUUGGGGUGAUUAAAUAAUUGAAUUAACUUAUUUUUUAUUAUACCAUUGAUAUAUGUUUAAUUGAUCCAUUUAUUAUGAUUAAAAGAUUAAAUUACCUUAGGGAUAACAGCGUAAUUUUUUUUUAAAGUUCUUAUUGAAAAAAAAGUUUGCGACCUCGAUGUUGGAUUAAAA